GGACUGUGGAUCAGUGGUAGAGUGCUCGCCUAGCACUUGCGAGGCCCUGGGUUCAAUCCUCAGUACCA
Molecule: transfer RNA, 68 nt
Filed under: Marmota monax (woodchuck)
Lineage: Eukaryota; Metazoa; Chordata; Mammalia; Rodentia; Sciuridae
Description: tRNA.Ala
Source: RNAcentral